CCUACGGGUGACAGCAGUGAGGAAUAUUGGUCAAUGGGAGAGAUCCUGAACCAGCCAAGCCGCGUGAGGGAAGACGGCCCUAUGGGUUGUAAACCUCUUUUGUCGGAGAACAAAACCCGGGACGUGUCCCGGACUGCGUGUAUCCGAAGAAAAAGCAUCGGCUAACUCCGUGCCAGCAGCCGCGGUAAUACGGAGGAUGCGAGCGUUAUCCGGAUUUAUUGGGUUUAAAGGGUGCGUAGGCGGGUUAUCAAGUCAGCGGUAAAAUCGUGGAGCUCAACUCCAUCCAGCCGUUGAAACUGAUGAUCUUGAGUGGGCGAGAAGUAUGCGGAAUGCGUGGUGUAGCGGUGAAAUGCAUAGAUAUCACGCAGAACUCCGAUUGCGAAGGCAGCAUACCGGCGCCCGACUGACGCUGAAGCACGAAAGCGUGGGUAUCGAACAGGAUUAGAUACCCGUGUAGUC
This 459-nucleotide ribosomal RNA is filed under the name uncultured bacterium. Its description in RNAcentral is "partial 16S ribosomal RNA". It matches the Rfam family "Bacterial small subunit ribosomal RNA", at positions 338 to 795 of the family's 1533-position model. The record is from RNAcentral.